GUAUUGGAAAGUUGGCACAGCCUCUGCAAUGUGAAAUAUCGAAGAAUCAUUACGACCUGACCCUCAACGUGGAGCGGCCAGGUUUCCCGACAGAGCGGGACACGGACAAAGGCGUCCUCACUGGGUAACCGGUGGGACGCC
RNAcentral lists this small RNA (141 nucleotides) under Stutzerimonas stutzeri RCH2. Its description in RNAcentral is "Pseudomonas stutzeri RCH2 Pseudomonas sRNA P11". It matches the Rfam family "Pseudomonas sRNA P11". From Rfam's summary of the family: P11 is located between a putative threonine protein kinase and putative nitrate reductase and appears to be conserved in several Pseudomonas species. P11 has a predicted Rho independent terminator at the 3'end but the function of P11 is unknown. Lineage: Bacteria; Pseudomonadati; Pseudomonadota; Gammaproteobacteria; Pseudomonadales; Pseudomonadaceae. The record is from RNAcentral.